UACGUAGGUGGCAAGCGUUGUCCGGAAUUACUGGGUGUAAAGGGAGCGUAGGCGGGGUGCCAAGUUGAAUGUGAAAUCGGCCGGCUUAACUGGUCGCUGCGUUCAAAACUGGCGCUCUUGAGUGGAGCAGAGGCAGGCGGAAUUCCUAGUGUAGCGGUGAAAUGCGUAGAUAUUAGGAGGAACACCAGUGGCGAAGGCGGCCUGCUGGGCUUUAACUGACGCUGAGGCUCGAAAGCGUGGGUAGCAAACAGG
This 252-nucleotide ribosomal RNA is filed under the name uncultured bacterium. RNAcentral's name for it is "partial 16S ribosomal RNA". It matches the Rfam family "Bacterial small subunit ribosomal RNA", at positions 524 to 776 of the family's 1533-position model. The record is from RNAcentral.